GUUUAGGGAGGCGUCCUUUGAGAGAGGCGAACCAGGGAAAGGGUUAAAACUGUCUUACUGUUCUCUAUUGUGUGCGGGGAAGAUUCUCCCACAUCGCCUAGUGAGUUUUUACAAAGCCAGGCACAUUCUCACACAGGGCCCUGGAUCAUAUGGAAUCCCGAGCAGAUGGCCACAUUCACUGGGACUGUGGGUCAAACAUAUGCUCUCCAGGCUCUUGUGUAGAAUGGAAUCCGUGAGCGCCGGAAAGAGCUGGGGGUGGGGAGCUCAACCUAGCUACUGUAAGACCACGGGACAGAGAAAGAAACACUUGCAAGUUGUUAGGAUCAAGCAUUCUCAUGCAAAAGAAUCAGCUGACUGAUAGUUUCACAUUUGCAAUGCUGUGACUGUAAGGGCUUUUUGCAUAAAUUAUCUAGUAGUAGUGUUUGGAUUCAAACAGGUACUUCAAAACUUUUUUUAAGAUUUUAUUUUUUUUUUAAUUAGGAUUAUAAUAUUUGUGUACUAGAAAUUAAAUACGAGGACACAAAACUCUAAAAAGCAUUAAAACCGCACAUUAAAGCAAGAUGUUAAAAAGCUAUAUUAAAUCAGCUAUACUAUAAAACGAUGGAACCAAAAGACUGAUGUUCUCAGGACAAAGAUUGGGGUAAUUUCCACGCUGGAUUAUUUUCAGAGCAGAGGGAAGGAACUUGGCUUUGCCUGCAAAAAGCGUCUGCAGAAAGUGGCCCUUUCAAACUCCACUCACAUUCAUACUUCCCUCUCAAAAUUCACACACCUGUUCAAAUAGCCAGCCUCAGUGGCCAUAAAGAGGAAUUGUUCACCUCCAUACACUUGCAGUGUCAUGUGCAGUAUUUCAGAAUACCCCAGAAGGAACUUAUUUUAGACUCAACAUAAACAAAAUUAUAAUGACUUGUUUGAAGUCUGACCAUCUGGCCAUAUGCUGAGGCUGGUUUCAUGUCUCAUGCUGAAAGGCUGUUUCACGUGCCUCGAAAAAAAUCAUGCCUCAGCAAAACUAUCUGCAUGGAUCACAUGUCUGCUGUCUGAGUUUCAGUUAAAUAGAGGUUGGUAAUAUGUUUGGUUAAAAACAAUAUAUUGGUUAAAAAUACCAACCCCCACAAACACACUUUUGUUUCUGUGAAUUGUGGGGACUUUCCAUAGACUUCUAUUACUUUUAUACUGAACAAAUGAUAUGUUCUAUCCCCUAACCCUAAACCUAGCCCUUACAGAAAACCUGUUUGCAAUCCCUACAAUGUCAAAAAUGUCAGGUUUUACUGUCCUUUACUGUUUUAAUGUAGCAUAAACAAGUACACACACACACACACACACACACACACACACACACACACACACACACACACACACACACACACACAGGUGUUAUUUCGUAUCGAGCACUAAAGUUUUUGUUAAUAUUUUGAAUUAGAUCUUAUUUUUAGAUUUCAAUUUGAAUUUAACAAAUACAUUUUAUUUUAAUUUUUAUUUUAGUUUUAGUUAUUUUAGUUCAUCAAGUUAAACAGUAAAACAGCACCACACACCAGCUACAGGUGGAGAGG
This is a long non-coding RNA of Cyprinus carpio carpio, 1547 nucleotides long. Lineage: Eukaryota; Metazoa; Chordata; Actinopteri; Cypriniformes; Cyprinidae. The record is from Ensembl.